This 497-nucleotide ribosomal RNA is filed under the name uncultured bacterium. Its description in RNAcentral is "partial 16S ribosomal RNA". It matches the Rfam family "Bacterial small subunit ribosomal RNA", at positions 28 to 507 of the family's 1533-position model. The record is from RNAcentral.
GAUGAACGCUGGCGGCGUGCCUAAUACAUGCAAGUCGAGCGAACAGACGAGGAGCUUGCUCCUCUGACGUUAUCGGCGGACGGGUGAGUAACACGUGUAUAACCUACCUAUAAGACUGGGAUAACUUCGGGAAACCGGAUCUAAUACCGGCUAAUAUCUUGAACCGCAUGGUUCAAUAGUUAAAUACGGUUUUUCUGUCUCUUAUAGAUUGUUCCGCUCCGCAUUAGCUAGUUGGUAAGGUAACGGCUUACCAAGGCAACGAUGCGUAGCCGACAUGAGAGGGGGAUCGGACACACUGGAACUGAGACACGGUCCAGACACCUACGGGAGGCAGCAGUAGGGAAUAUUCCGCAAUGGGCGAAAGCAUGACGGAGCAACGCCGCGUGAGUGAUGAAGGUCUUCGGAUCGUAAAACUCUGUUAUGAGGGAAGAACAAAUGUGUAAGUAAAUAUGCACGUAUUGACGGUACCUAAUAAGAAAGCCACGGCUAACUACGUG